UGGAACGGAAAGUUUGACGGAUAGGGGGUUGUGAGUAACCGGGUUGAGAAUGUUGUUGGGGGUUAGAUGUUGAUCCUUCUUGUGUGUAACUUGUCUGGCGUGGGUCAUAGAGGUACAUAUCAUCGGCGAUGAAUUGAAAACCAAUCGAUCUGUACCAAGCCAUAUAAGUACGACUUGGUUUUACCUCGUUUGGCAUGACUGCGUCAAUUAAGACAUGGUCAUGACGGUGCUUCCACUUGCGACACUCCGAUCUUGCGAAGGUUUGGCAAGGGUUGAAGUUCC
RNAcentral lists this long non-coding RNA (282 nucleotides) under Lathyrus oleraceus (garden pea). Its description in RNAcentral is "Pisum sativum (pea) long non-coding RNA (PSAT_LNC041989)". Lineage: Eukaryota; Viridiplantae; Streptophyta; Magnoliopsida; Fabales; Fabaceae. The record is from RNAcentral.